This 489-nucleotide ribosomal RNA is filed under the name Dendrophryniscus brevipollicatus. RNAcentral's name for it is "partial small subunit ribosomal RNA". It matches the Rfam family "Bacterial small subunit ribosomal RNA", at positions 794 to 1525 of the family's 1533-position model. Lineage: Eukaryota; Metazoa; Chordata; Amphibia; Anura; Bufonidae. The record is from RNAcentral.
GCUCAGUCGUAAACUUUAACUUACAUCUUAUCGCCAGGGAACUACGAGCUAAGCUUAAAACCCAAAGGACUUGACGGUACCCCAUAUCCCCCUAGAGGAGCCUGUCCAAUAAUCGAUAACCCACGUUUAACCUCACCAUUCCUAGUUACUCAGCCUGUAUACCUCCGUCGCCAGCUUACCUCGUGAGCGCUAACCUUAGUGAGCAUAAUAUUUUUCAAUAAUACGUCAGGUCAAGGUGCAGCAAAUGUAAUGGAAAGAGAUGGGCUACACUUUCUAAAUUAGAAGAAACGGAAAACUUUAUGAAACCUAGUCAGAAGGCGGAUUUAGUAGUAAAAUAAGAUCAUUAUACUCAUUUAAACUCGGCACUGGGGUGUGUACACACCGCCCGUCACCCUCUUCAAAGCUAUCGCCUAGUCUUUAACAAACUAAAGCAUAAUAGAAGAGGCAAGUCGUAACAUGGUAAGUAUACCGGAAGGUAUGCUUGGAUAA